This 497-nucleotide ribosomal RNA is filed under the name uncultured bacterium. Its description in RNAcentral is "partial 16S ribosomal RNA". It matches the Rfam family "Bacterial small subunit ribosomal RNA", at positions 28 to 507 of the family's 1533-position model. The record is from RNAcentral.
GAUGAACGCUGGCGGCGUGCCUAAUACAUGCAAGUCGAGCGAACAGACGAGGAGCUUGCUCCUCUGACGUUAGCGGCGGACGGGUGAGUAACACGUGGAUAACCUACCUAUAAGACUGGGAUAACUUCGGGAAACCGGAGCUAAUACCGGAUAAUAUAUUGAACCGCAUGGUUCAAUAGUGAAAGACGGUUUUGCUGUCACUUAUAGAUGGAUCCGCGCCGCAUUAGCUAGUUGGUAAGGUAACGGCUUACCAAGGCAACGAUGCGUAGCCGACCUGAGAGGGUGAUCGGCCACACUGGAACUGAGACACGGUCCAGGCUCCUACGGGAGGCAGCAGUAGGGAAUCUUCCGCGAUGGGCGAAAGCUUGACGGAGCAACGCCGCGUGAGUGAUGAAGGUCUUCGGAUCGUAAAACUCUGUUAUUAGGGAAGAACAAAUGUGUAAGUAACUAUGCACGUCUUGACGGUACCUAAUCAGAAAGCCACGGCUAACUACGUG